RNAcentral lists this ribosomal RNA (432 nucleotides) under uncultured bacterium. RNAcentral's name for it is "partial 16S ribosomal RNA". It matches the Rfam family "Bacterial small subunit ribosomal RNA", at positions 29 to 507 of the family's 1533-position model. The record is from RNAcentral.
AACGAACGCUGGCGGCAGGCCUAACACAUGCACGUCGAGCGAGGACUUCGGUCCUAGCGGCGGACGGGUGAGUAACGCGUGGGAACGUGCCCUUUGCUUCGGAAUAGCCCUGGGAAACUGGGAGUAAUACCGGAUGAGCCCUUUGGGGGAAAGAUUUAUCGGCGAAGGAUCGGCCCGCGUUGGAUUAGGUAGUUGGUGGGGUAAUGGCCUACCAAGCCGACGAUCCAUAGCUGGUUUGAGAGGAUGAUCAGCCACACUGGGACUGAGACACGGCCCAGACUCCUACGGGAGGCGGCAGGGGGGAAUCUUAGCCAAGGGGGAAACCCUGAUCUAGCCAUGCCGCGUGAGCGAUGAAGGCCUUAGGGUUGUAAAGCUCUUUCAGCUGGGAAGAUAAUGACGGUACCAGCAGAAGAAGCCCCGGCUAACUCCGUG